CCUACGGGUGGCUGCAGUGGGGAAUAUUGGACAAUGGGGGCAACCCUGAUCCAGCCAUGCCGCGUGUGUGAAGAAGGCCCUCGGGUUGUAAAGCACUUUCAGUGAGGAAGAACGCCUGGUGGUUAAUACCCAUCAGGAAAGACAUCACUCACAGAAGAAGCACCGGCUAACUCCGUGCCAGCAGCCGCGGUAAUACGGAGGGUGCGAGCGUUAAUCGGAAUUACUGGGCGUAAAGCGCGCGUAGGUGGCUUGAUAAGCCGGUUGUGAAAGCCCCGGGCUCAACCUGGGAACGGCAUCCGGAACUGUCAAGCUAGAGUGCAGGAGAGGAAGGUAGAAUUCCCGGUGUAGCGGUGAAAUGCGUAGAGAUCGGGAGGAAUACCAGUGGCGAAGGCGGCCUUCUGGACUGACACUGACACUGAGGUGCGAAAGCGUGGGUAGCACACAGGAUUAGAUACCCUAGUAGUC
Molecule: ribosomal RNA, 465 nt
Filed under: Vreelandella stevensii
Lineage: Bacteria; Pseudomonadati; Pseudomonadota; Gammaproteobacteria; Oceanospirillales; Halomonadaceae
Description: partial 16S ribosomal RNA
Rfam family: Bacterial small subunit ribosomal RNA
Source: RNAcentral